Molecule: transfer RNA, 72 nt
Filed under: Camelus bactrianus (Bactrian camel)
Lineage: Eukaryota; Metazoa; Chordata; Mammalia; Artiodactyla; Camelidae
Also listed under: 2 other names
Rfam family: tRNA
About the family: Transfer RNA (tRNA) molecules are approximately 80 nucleotides in length.
Source: Rfam by way of RNAcentral
GGGGGUAUAACUCAGUGGUAGAGUGUGUGCCCCGCAUGCACGAGGUCCUGGGUUCAAUCCCCAGUACCGCCA